This 100-nucleotide small nuclear RNA is filed under the name Erinaceus europaeus (western European hedgehog). The record is from RNAcentral. Lineage: Eukaryota; Metazoa; Chordata; Mammalia; Eulipotyphla; Erinaceidae.
UCACUUCAGCAGCACAUAUACUAAAAUUGGAGUGAUACAGAUGCUAGCAUGGCCCCUGCACAAGGAUGACAUGCAAAUUCGUUAAAUGUUCCAUAGUUAG